CCCUUUGGCUUGCUCCUUGCUCACGGCACCACCACCAACGACCCGAGCCACCCUCGCUGCCACCAUCGACAGCCGCCACCGCCGCUGCCGCGCCAUCUCCGACCGCCGUCCAACCACUCUUCAUUCUUUCUUUUGGUGGAGAAUUCUCCGUAGGCGACUUUUGAAUUAUUAAAGUGGUCUUGCAGUUUGUUUACACAAGUCUCUAAGGAUCAAUAAGCGUUGCCCAUCUACAGGUUUGAAGAUGAUGCAUCAUUGGG
Molecule: long non-coding RNA, 257 nt
Organism: Spinacia oleracea (spinach)
Lineage: Eukaryota; Viridiplantae; Streptophyta; Magnoliopsida; Caryophyllales; Amaranthaceae
Exons: 3
Source: RefSeq, a predicted model, not a curated record